AGCGGCUGCCCCUUCCACGCGCUUCACGGCAAGCGUGGGGCUCUGCCUGCUGACACCAUGCGAGACGGAAGGAAGUGCUGAGCCCAGGCAAGCGCCUGCUCCAGGGCUGGGGGCUUCGGGGAGGGGCCCAGAGGUAACGUCUGGCCCCACUGGCACACGGGGCACGUGCACUAGGAUGUGCUGAAGGAAUGAAAGAAAAAGUAAUACUGAACGAGGGUCAUCAACACCGAAUAGAAAGCAAGGAGUAAAGCCGUGAGACUGAAUCAGAAGUCAGCAGCAGUGCGGCAGGGUCCGGCUGGAAUUGAUAACAAGAGUCAAUGUGUCUUCUCCUACAACUGUGUCCUCGCUCUACAGAAACCUUUUUCCAGAAUCCAAAAAAAUGACUUGCAAACAGUGAAAAACACCCAGCAGGCAGGAAGAAAUAGUCAUGAACCACUGUGCCACAUUUUCUAAAGAUGCUGAAUUUUCUAUAAAUGUCUGCUGAAUCUCAGCUUAAAUAAAAAGAGACUCUCUGACCUUCCCAUGGUCUAAGGUGUUACUCUGCAGCACACCUAGUUGUGACAACUCUAUAAAUGAAUAGCUCAUAAAUGAGCUUUCUGUGAUUGUCUGUUGGAUUCAACAGACCCUGAACUCUUCAGAUAAUGAAGACAUUUUAAAAUAUCUCUCCAACACCUGGACACACACAAAGACAAUCCCUGCAAUAGAACAUUUGUGCUUGGAUGCCCUUGUUCUCCAUUUGCUCAUACGCCAAAACUGAUGCAAAUAGAAUAUGUAAAUACCUACGCC
RNAcentral lists this long non-coding RNA (786 nucleotides) under Fukomys damarensis (Damara mole-rat). Its description in RNAcentral is "lncRNA (ENSFDAG00000033396.1)". Lineage: Eukaryota; Metazoa; Chordata; Mammalia; Rodentia; Bathyergidae. The record is from RNAcentral.